RNAcentral lists this ribosomal RNA (916 nucleotides) under uncultured bacterium. RNAcentral's name for it is "bacterial SSU rRNA". It matches the Rfam family "Bacterial small subunit ribosomal RNA", at positions 1 to 917 of the family's 1533-position model. The record is from RNAcentral.
UAGAGUUUGAUCCUGGCUCAGAUUGAACGCUGGCGGAAUGCUUUACACAUGCAAGUCGAACGGCAGCACGGACUUCGGUCUGGUGGCGAGUGGCGAACGGGUGAGUAACAUAUCGGAACGUAUCCAAUAAUGGGGGAUAACUAAUCGAAAGGUUGGCUAAUACCGCAUACGCCCUACGGGGGAAAGCUAGGGACCUUCGGGCCUGGCGUUAAUGGAGCGGCCGAUAUCUGAUUAGCUAGUUGGUGGGGUAAAGGCCCACCAAGGCGACGAUCAGUAGCUGGUCUGAGAGGACGACCAGCCACACUGGAACUGAGACACGGUCCAGACUCCUACGGGAGGCAGCAGUGGGGAAUUUUGGACAAUGGGCGCAAGCCUGAUCCAGCCAUUCCGCGUGAGUGAAGAAGGCCUUCGGGUCGUAAAGCUCUUUCGCAAGGGAAGAAAACUUAUCCUCUAACAUAGGAUGAGGUUGACGGUACCUUGAUAAGAAGCACCGGCUAACUACGUGCCAGCAGCCGCGGUAAUACGUAGGGUGCGAGCGUUAAUCGGAAUUACUGGGCGUAAAGCGUGCGCAGGCGGUUUUGUAAGUCAGAUGUGAAAUCCCCGAGCUCAACUUGGGAACUGCGUUUGAAACUACAAGACUAGAAUAUGUCAGAGGGGGGUAGAAUUCCACGUGUAGCAGUGAAAUGCGUAGAGAUGUGGAGGAAUACCAAUGGCGAAGGCAGCCCCCUGGGAUAAUAUUGACGCUCAUGCACGAAAGCGUGGGGAGCAAACAGGAUUAGAUACCCUGGUAGUCCACGCCCUAAACGAUGUCUACUAGUUGUUGGUGGAGUAAAAUCCAUGAGUAACGCAGCUAACGCGUGAAGUAGACCGCCUGGGGAGUACGGUCGCAAGAUUAAAACUCAAAGGAAUUGACGGA